UACAGAGGUGGCAAGCGUUGUUCGGAAUUACUGGGCGUAAAGGGCGCGUAGGCGGCCAUCUAAGUCAGACGUGAAAUCCCCCGGCUUAACCUGGGAACUGCGUCUGAUACUGGACGGCUUGAGUAUGGGAGAGGGAUGUAGAAUUCCUGGUGUAGCGGUGAAAUGCGCAGAUAUCAGGAGGAACACCGGUGGCGAAGGCGGAUCUCUGGGCCUUACCUGACGCUCAGGUGCGAAAGCUAGGGGAGCGAACAGG
RNAcentral lists this ribosomal RNA (253 nucleotides) under uncultured bacterium. RNAcentral's name for it is "partial 16S ribosomal RNA". It matches the Rfam family "Bacterial small subunit ribosomal RNA", at positions 524 to 776 of the family's 1533-position model. The record is from RNAcentral.